RNAcentral lists this ribosomal RNA (424 nucleotides) under uncultured bacterium. Its description in RNAcentral is "partial 16S ribosomal RNA". It matches the Rfam family "Bacterial small subunit ribosomal RNA", at positions 354 to 796 of the family's 1533-position model. The record is from RNAcentral.
GUGGGGAAUCUUGCGCAAUGGGCGAAAGCCUGACGCAGCCAUGCCGCGUGAAUGAUGAAGGUCUUAGGAUUGUAAAAUUCUUUCACCGGGGACGAUAAUGACGGUACCCGGAGAAGAAGCUCCGGCUAACUUCGUGCCAGCAGCCGCGGUAAUACGAAGGGGGCUAGCGUUGCUCGGAAUUACUGGGCGUAAAGGGCGCGUAGGCGGACAGCUUAGUCAGAGGUGAAAGCCCAGGGCUCAACCUUGGAAUUGCCUUUGAUACUGGCUGUCUUGAGUUUGGGAGAGGUGAGUGGAACUCCGAGUGUAGAGGUGAAAUUCGUAGAUAUUCGGAAGAACACCAGUGGCGAAGGCGACUCACUGGCCCAAUACUGACGCUGAGGCGCGAAAGCGUGGGGAGCAAACAGGAUUAGAAACCUGGUAGUCC